GAUGAACGCUGGCGGCGUGCUUAACACAUGCAAGUCGAACGAUGAAGCCCAGCUUGCUGGGUGGACUAGUGGCGAACGGGUGAGUAACACGUGAGUAACCUGCCCUUAACUCUGGGAUAAGCCUGGGAAACUGGGUCUAAUACCGGAUAGGAGCGCCUACCGCAUGGUGGGUGUUGGAAAGAUUUAUCGGUUUUGGAUGGACUCGCGGCCUAUCAGCUUGUUGGUGAGGUAAUGGCUCACCAAGGCGACGACGGGUAGCCGGCCUGAGAGGGUGACCGGCCACACUGGGACUGAGACACGGCCCAGACUCCUACGGGAGGCAGCAGUGGGGAAUAUUGCACAAUGGGCGAAAGCCUGAUGCAGCGACGCCGCGUGAGGGAUGACGGCCUUCGGGUUGUAAACCUCUUUCAGUAGGGAAGAAGCGAAAGUGACGGUACCUGCAGAAGAAGCACCGGCUAACUACGUG
This 466-nucleotide ribosomal RNA is filed under the name uncultured bacterium. Its description in RNAcentral is "partial 16S ribosomal RNA". It matches the Rfam family "Bacterial small subunit ribosomal RNA", at positions 28 to 507 of the family's 1533-position model. The record is from RNAcentral.